RNAcentral lists this ribosomal RNA (22 nucleotides) under Aponogeton robinsonii. RNAcentral's name for it is "partial 26S ribosomal RNA". Lineage: Eukaryota; Viridiplantae; Streptophyta; Magnoliopsida; Alismatales; Aponogetonaceae. The record is from RNAcentral.
CCAGGUCAGGCGGGGCCACCCG